GACGAACGCUGGCGGCGUGCCUAAUACAUGCAAGUAGAACGCUGAAGAGAGGAGCUUGCUCUUCUUGGAUGAGUCGCGAACGUGUGUGUCACGUGUAUGAACCCCGCCUUGCAGCGGGGUAUAACUAUUGGAAUCGAUAGCUAAUACCGCAUAACAAUGGACGACAAAUGUCAUUUAUUUGAAAGGGGCAAUUGUUCCACUACAAGAUGGAUCUGCGUUGUAUUAGCUAGUAGGUGAGGUACUGGCUCACUUAGGCGGCGAGACAUAGCCGACCUGAGAGGGAGAGCGGCCAGACUGGGACGGAGACACGGCCCAGACGCCUACGGGAGGCGGCAGUAGGGAUUCGGCAGCAAUGGGGGCGACCCUGACCGAGCAACGCCGCGUGAGUGAGGAGGAUUUUCGGAUCGUAGAUCUCUGUUGUAAGUCAAGAACGGGUGUGAGAGUGGAAAGAUCACUCAGUGACGGUAGCUUGCCAAAAAGCGACGGCUAACUACGUG
This 497-nucleotide ribosomal RNA is filed under the name uncultured bacterium. RNAcentral describes it as "partial 16S ribosomal RNA". It matches the Rfam family "Bacterial small subunit ribosomal RNA", at positions 28 to 507 of the family's 1533-position model. The record is from RNAcentral.